AAGGGUAAAGGGCAUAACUGCUCGCCAAGGGAGGGGCCUGCGGCCUAUCAGGUAGUUGGUGUGGUAAUGGCUCACCAAGCCUAUGACGGGUAGCUGACCUUAUGAGGGUGAACAGCCAGAAGAGCACUGAGACACGGGCUCUACACCUACGGGUGGCAGCAAUCAAGAAUCGUUGGCAAUGGGCGAAAGCCUGACCACGCGACACCGCGUGUAGGAUGAAGCCUUUCGGGGUGUAAACUACUGUGGCGAGGGAAAAAGUCUCGUUUUUCGGGAUUGAUGGUACCUCGCUAGAAAGAAGCCGCUAACUUCGUGCCAGAAGCGUCGGUGAUACGGGGGCUUCAAGCGUUAUCCGGUGUGACUGGGCGUGAAGAGUCUGUAGG
RNAcentral lists this ribosomal RNA (380 nucleotides) under uncultured bacterium. RNAcentral's name for it is "bacterial SSU rRNA". It matches the Rfam family "Bacterial small subunit ribosomal RNA", at positions 197 to 575 of the family's 1533-position model. The record is from RNAcentral.